GUGUAGUUAAUAGCUGCAUUAUUUGACGUUAGCGACAGAAGAAGCACCGGCUAACUCCGUGCCAGCAGCCGCGGUAAUACGGAGGGUGCGAGCGUUAAUCGGAAUUACUGGGCGUAAAGCGCAUGCAGGUGGUUUGUUAAGUCAGAUGUGAAAGCCCGGGGCUCAACCUCGGAAUAGCAUUUGAAACUGGCAGACUAGAGUACUGUAGAGGGGGGUAGAAUUUCAGGUGUAGCGGUGAAAUGCGUAGAGAUCUGAAGGAAUACCGGUGGCGAAGGCGGCCCCCUGGACAGAUACUGACACUCAGAUGCGAAAGCGUGGGGAGCAAACAGGAUUAGAUACCCUGGUAGUCCACGCCGUAAACGAUGUCUACUUGGAGGUUGUGGCCUUGAGCCGUGGCUUUCGGAGCUAACGCGUUAAGUAGACCGCCUGGGGAGUACGGUCGCAAGAUUAAAACUCAAAUGAAUUGACGGGGGCCCGCACAAGCGGUGGAGCAUGUGGUUUAAUUCGAUGCAACGCGAAGAACCUUACCUACUCUUGACAUCCAGAGAACUUUCCAGAGAUGGAUUGGUGCCUUCGGGAACUCUGAGACAGGUGCUGCAUGGCUGUCGUCAGCUCGUGUUGUGAAAUGUUGGGUUAAGUCCCGCAACGAGCGCAACCCUUAUCCUUGUUUGCCAGCGAGUAAUGUCGGGAACUCCAGGGAGACUGCCGGUGAUAAACCGGAGGAAGGUGGGGACGACGUCAAGUCAUCAUGGCCCUUACGAGUAGGGCUACACACGUGCUACAAUGGCGCAUACAGAGGGCGGCCAACUUGCGAAAGUGAGCGAAUCCCAAAAAGUGCGUCGUAGUCCGGAUUGGAGUCUGCAACUCGACUCCAUGAAGUCGGAAUCGCUAGUAAUCGUGGAUCAGAAUGCCACGGUGAAUACGUUCCCGGGCCUUGUACACACCGCCCGUCACACCAUGGGAGUGGGCUGCAAAAGAAGUAGGUAGUUUAACCUUCGGGGGGACGCUUACCACUUUGUGGUUCAUGACUGGGGUGAAGUCGUAACAAGGUAGCGCUAGGGGAACCUGGCGCUGGAUCACCUCCUUAUACGAUGAU
RNAcentral lists this ribosomal RNA (1096 nucleotides) under Vibrio sp. 2-2(9). RNAcentral's name for it is "bacterial SSU rRNA". It matches the Rfam family "Bacterial small subunit ribosomal RNA", at positions 447 to 1533 of the family's 1533-position model. Lineage: Bacteria; Pseudomonadati; Pseudomonadota; Gammaproteobacteria; Vibrionales; Vibrionaceae. The record is from RNAcentral.